UACGUAGGGACCAAGCGUUGUUCGGAUUUACUGGGCGUAAAGAGCGCGUAGGCGGUGCGGUAAGUCACUUGUGAAAUCUCUGAGCUUAACUCAGAACGGCCAAGUGAUACUGCAGUACUAGAGUGCAGAAGGGGCAAUCAGAAUUCUUGGUGUAGCGGUGAAAUGCGUAGAUAUCAGGAGGAACACCGGAGGCGAAGACGGGUUGCUAGGCUGACACUGACGCUGAGGCGCGAAAGCCAGGGGAGCAAACGGG
Molecule: ribosomal RNA, 253 nt
Filed under: uncultured bacterium
Lineage: Bacteria
Description: partial 16S ribosomal RNA
Rfam family: Bacterial small subunit ribosomal RNA
Source: RNAcentral